RNAcentral lists this transfer RNA (47 nucleotides) under Coriaria microphylla. RNAcentral describes it as "partial tRNA-Phe". The record is from RNAcentral. Lineage: Eukaryota; Viridiplantae; Streptophyta; Magnoliopsida; Cucurbitales; Coriariaceae.
CGGGAUAGCUCAGUUGGUAGAGCAGAGGACUGAAAAUCCUCGUGUCA